AUUGAACGCUGGCGGCAGGCCUAAUACAUGCCAGUCGAACGGUAACAGGAAGAAGCUUGCUUCUUUGCUGACGAGUGGCGGACGGGUGAGUAAUGUCUGGGAAACUGCCUGAUGGAGGGGGAUAACUACUGGAAGCGGUAGCUAAUACCGCAUAACGUCGCAAGACCAAAGAGGGGGACCUUCGGGCCUCUUGCCAUCGGAUGUGCCCAGAUGGGAUUAGCUAGUAGGUGGGGUAACGGCUCACCUAGGCGACGAUCCCUAGCUGGUCUGAGAGGAUGACCAGCCACACUGGAACUGAGACACGGUCCAGACUCCUACGGGAGGCAGCAGUGGGGAAUAUUGCACAAUGGGCGCAAGCCUGAUGCAGCCAUGCCGCGUGUAUGAAGAAGGCCUUCGGGUUGUAAAGUACUUUCAGCGGGGAGGAAGGGAGUAAAGUUAAUACCUUUGCUCAUUGACGUUACCCGCAGAAGAAGCACCGGCUAACUCCGUG
Molecule: ribosomal RNA, 490 nt
Filed under: uncultured bacterium
Lineage: Bacteria
Description: partial 16S ribosomal RNA
Rfam family: Bacterial small subunit ribosomal RNA
Source: RNAcentral